UACGUAGGGGCCGAGCGUUGUCCGGAAUUACUGGGCGUGAAGCGCGCGCAGGCGGCUGUCCGCGCCCGGCGUGAAAGCCCCCGGCUCAACCGGGGAGAGUCGUCGGGGACGGGACAGCUUGAGGGCGGGAGGGGUUGGUGGAAUUCCCGGUGUAGUGGUGAAAUGCGUAGAGAUCGGGAGGAACACCUGUGGCGAAGGCGGCCAACUGGCCCGACCCUGACGCUGAGGCGCGAAAGCUAGGGUAGCAAACGGG
Molecule: ribosomal RNA, 253 nt
Filed under: uncultured bacterium
Lineage: Bacteria
Description: partial 16S ribosomal RNA
Rfam family: Bacterial small subunit ribosomal RNA
Source: RNAcentral